AGUGAACGCUGGCGGUAGGCCUAACACAUGCAAGUCGAACGGCAGCACAGUAAGAGCUUGCUCUUACGGGUGGCGAGUGGCGGACGGGUGAGGAAUACAUCGGAAUCUACUUUUUCGUGGGGGAUAACGUAGGGAAACUUACGCUAAUACCGCAUACGACCUACGGGUGAAAGCAGGGGAUCUUCGGACCUUGCGCGAUUGAAUGAGCCGAUGUCGGAUUAGCUAGUUGGCGGGGUAAAGGCCCACCAAGGCGACGAUCCGUAGCUGGUCUGAGAGGAUGAUCAGCCACACUGGAACUGAGACACGGUCCAGACUCCUACGGGAGGCAGCAGUGGGGAAUAUUGGACAAUGGGCACAAGCCUGAUCCAGCCAUACCGCGUGGGUGAAGAAGGCCUUCGGGUUGUAAAGCCCUUUUGUUGGGAAAGAAAGGCAGCAGGUUAAUACCCCGCUGUUCUGACGGUACCCAAAGAAUAAGCACCGGCUAACUUCGUG
Molecule: ribosomal RNA, 492 nt
Filed under: uncultured bacterium
Lineage: Bacteria
Description: partial 16S ribosomal RNA
Rfam family: Bacterial small subunit ribosomal RNA
Source: RNAcentral